RNAcentral lists this ribosomal RNA (407 nucleotides) under uncultured bacterium. RNAcentral's name for it is "partial 16S ribosomal RNA". It matches the Rfam family "Bacterial small subunit ribosomal RNA", at positions 30 to 526 of the family's 1533-position model. The record is from RNAcentral.
AUUGAACGCUGGCGGCAGGCUUAACACAUGCAAGUCGAGCGGAGCGGCGGACGGGUGCGGAAUGCCUAGGAAUCUGCCUGGUAGUGGGGGAUAAGGUCAGGAAACGGGCGCUAAUACCGCAUACUAUCAGAUGAGCCUAGGUCGGAAUAGCUAGUUGGGGGGGUAAAGGCCUACCAAGGCCACGAUCCGUAACUGGUCUGAGAGGAUGAUCAGUCACACUGGAACUGAUACACGGUCCAGACUCCUACGGGAGGCAGCAGUGGGGAAUUUUGGACAAUGGGCGAAACCCUGAUCCAGCCAUGCCGCGUGUGUGAAGAAGGUCUUCGGAUUGUAAAGCACUUUAAGUUGGGAGGCGUUACCAACAGAAUAAGCACCGACUAACUUCGUGCCAGCCGCCGCGGUAAUAC